This 7389-nucleotide unclassified non-coding RNA is filed under the name Leguminivora glycinivorella. Its description in RNAcentral is "uncharacterized LOC125231928, transcript variant X2". The record is from RNAcentral. Lineage: Eukaryota; Metazoa; Arthropoda; Insecta; Lepidoptera; Tortricidae.
CAAAAUGGUGGAGAUGCUGGGAUUUGUUUUACAAAGCUAGAAUUCUGUGUUGUCAAUGAAAACUCAGACUUUCAGCUACUACCAGAUAACCAGAUGCCCUCAUGAAGAGCCCUUGAGUAAUAAGAACCUUGUAAUAGGUACCGCUGAAGUGUCAGCAAUGAUGUCCUCAAAGAGUAGAGGUCAUACUAGUUAAAGAACCUUGUAAUAGGUACCGCUGAAGUGUCAGCAAUGAUGUCCUCAAAGAGUAGAGGUCAUACUAGUUAAAGAACCUUGUAAUAGGUACCGCUGAAGUGUCAGCAAUGAUGUCCUCAAAGAGUAGAGGUCAUACUAGUUAAAGAACCUUGUAAUAGGUACCGCUGAAGUGUCAGCAAUGAUGUCCUCAAAGAGUAGAGGUCAUACUAGUUAAAGAACCUUGUAAUAGGUACCGCUGAAGUGUCAGCAAUUAUGAGUCCUCAAAGAGUAGAGGUCAUACUAUUUAAAGAACCUUGUAUUAGGUACGGCUGAAGGAUCAGCAUUCAUGAGUCCUCAAAGAAUAGAUGUCAUCUAGAAGGCAUCAUGAGUGAGAAAGAACCUUGUAUUAUUAGGUAGUAUUGAUAAUUUCAAGUAAAAUGACAGAUUUAGAGCUGUACCUGUCUCUCUCUCUCUCCCUCGUACGUUUUCAGACGGAUUUUCCACCGUGGAUUGUAUUGCGUAUUUAUUUCUGGAGUUGUGUGGUGGUUAAAGUGUAGAAACAUAAAAAUAAAAGAUAUAUAUAUGUUAAUGGUUAAGUUUUGAGUAAACUUUAUUAUUAAUUAAGUUAUUUUGUGUACUUAUCGAUAAUUUGUCAGACGAUAAUCGAUUUAGUAUGAGUGAAAAAAUAACGCGCCGGACCAUAAUCGAUUCACGAAUCGAUCGUGAACUAUGGAGUGGCAACACUGAUAGGUUAGUUGUCUAUGGACACCUUUUUGAAGACGUCAAACUGGUAUCUCUUCUCCCAUUGGACAAAUGAUUGUUGAGAACAACAGAGAAUUUUCUUAUUGGAUGUUACAUGGUUGUACGUGGAUUUAAUUGCAAACCAACUUGAUGUUUUCGUUCAUGUUUUGGCAUAGUUUGCAAGUUUGCUGUUUGGCUAGAAAAUAAGUUUUUACCGGCGACGCUAAAGUGAAUUUAGAUACAUUUUCGUGUGAAAGUUGUGUUUAAAGUGUGUAGGAAGAAUCGGCGAGCAAACAAAAGUGGAAUCCUACAUUUUACGAAGGUCAAUAUCGUCGAUUUUGCCAAGGACGAUAUCAAGAAGAUAUCAUCGGUACAUAUACCGAUUUCUAAGAAACCUUUAGAAGGUUAAAUAGGGUUAGUUGAGGAUAAUCCUACGGAUGUCCCAAGAUGGAACAGUUUUUAAAAGAACGAAUUACUUUGAGGCAAGAAAAGCUCGGAGAGGAUAUACAAGGGGGUAGAGCGAUACUGGAUCUUUAUAAAGAAGGGACCGCCAUUAUAGAUAAUGAUGUAUUAAAAAUACAGAUUAGUUUGAAACAAUGUUUAGAAAUCCUUCAAAAGGACAUAGACAGCUACAUACAAACCGCAUCUGAAGAUACAAGUAUACUCCAUUCAGCUUUUAAAAGACAACUGGAAGCAGAGGCUAUUUUAGUCGAGCUUAAUCUGCUACUCAGCGGAAACUCCCAACAGAAAAAUAUUACAAAACAUGUAAAACUUCCUAAACUUGAAUUGAUGAAGUUUAAAGGAGAUAUACUGAAAUGGACAGAGUUUUGGGACAGAUUCCUGGCUAAUGUGCAUUCACAGAGUUUGACAGACUCUGAGAAAUUAGCAUAUCUGUUGAGUCUUUUGGAGGACGAGGCGAAGGACGCUGUACAAGGCCUCUCGAUAACAAAUUCCAAUUACAAGCUAGCAAUAGAAGCACUAAAUGCUAGGUACGGAAACCAACAAAAGGUCAUAGAUUCUCAUUAUGAGGCGCUAACGAAAAUAAGUUGUUGUGCAUACUCUGCAGAAGAAUGCAGGAAGAAUUUAAAUAAAAUAGACACUCAUCUAAGGGUACUGUCGUCUUUAAAUGAAAAUGUGGAAAGCAACUUCUUGCGGAGUCUCAUCAUGAACAAGUUUCCUGAAAGGGUCAUAUAUGAAUUAAAUCUCUUAUUACCUAACAAUCAGACUAUAACCAGUAUUAGAAGUACUUUAGAUGCUAUCAUAGUGGCAUUAGAGAAGUCCAAGGUGAAGGAACCUAUUCAAAGGGAGACGCCUGGCACCGCCACUACUGAUGCAUUAAUUGCCAUUGAUAAUAAACCUAGACCGAAAUACAAAAGGGGCAAACGAAUUUCAGGCUUCACACCUUUUACUAAACCAUCAUCGGAGAUGCCGUCAGGAAAUAAUAGGAAGCGAAACGCUACGUUCACCAAGGAAAAGGGAAUUAAGCGACCAAAAUUAAGCUGUAUUUUCUGCUCGGGAUCACACUUUAAUGAUGAGUGCACAUCUAUUAAGACCAUAGAGGGUAGAAAGAAAAGGUUAAGCGACCGCUGCUUUAUUUGUUUGAAAUUAGGCCAUCGUGUGAAUGAAUGUAAGAGGCGAAAACCGUGUUACCAUUGUAAAGGGCAGCACAAUCGUGCUCUGUGCCCAAAGCGAGAACCUGCAGACUGCAACAGCGCAGGUGAUUCACAAAAAUAAAAAACUAGAAUGUAGAUUACUUCUUGACUGCGGAAGUCAAAGAAGUUACAUUACCACUGGACUUGCCAAAACCCUGGAUUUGACUUUGAACAACAUGGAUUCAUUAUUAAUUUUUACCUUUGGAGCAGAGAAACCUACUGAAACUUUGAGCCCUUGCACUGAUGUAGUAAUCAAAACGAAACGAGGAGUAGACAAGAGUAUCCACGUCAACGUUGUCCCUCGCAUUACUAAUAAGAUUCCCACACAACAUAUCUCAAAACCAAGUGGAGUAGAUAUGAUGGCAGACAGUGGCUCACAAGGAAGUAAAGAAAUCAAUAUGCUCAUUGGUAAUGACUACUAUUUUUCCUUUAUUAGGAAAAAUAUGAUACAACUGGACGACAAUCUAUUCUUAAUAGAUACAGAUUUUGGAUGGGUUAUAUCUGGUCGUCUCCGCUUAGAAAAUCAAGAAGAAGACAAUAUUUUAACAGUUGUCACUUACCAUCAAAGUAAUAGAGGUUGUAAAUGCUUCUCAGAACCGGAUCUACCGUUGAGGCAAUCUGAUCUGAAAUUCCUUUGGAGUCUGGAAAAUAUUGGAAUAACUGAUUCAGUAAAGGCUACUAGGGAAGAGAAUGCUGUCCAACACUUUAAUGAUACCGUGGUAUAUCAAGGUGGCCGUUAUUAUGUGAAAUGGCCAUGGACAACAUAUCCGCCCGAUGUACCAACCAACUAUGGUCUAGCGUAUGGCAGACUCAAGGGAUUAUUACAAAGGAUGGAUAAGUCUACACUACAAGAAUAUAAUGAGAUACUUAUGGAACAACUGAAGAAUGAGAUAAUAGAAGUUGUUCAAGCAGGAUCAAAUCUCCAAUGUCAGUCUGUGCCUCCGAUUCACUACCUUCCGCAUCAUAUAAUCAAACAGAGUGCCAAACGUGGUCGUAUUGUAUAUGAUGGGUCAGCAAGACUGAAAAAUGAGCAAAGUCUUAACGAGUGCUUGUAUAGAGGACCUUGCAUGCUCCAAGAUCUGACAGCGCUGCUCUUGAACUUUAGAGUGUAUCAAAUAGGUAUUGUAGCUGACGUCGAAAAGGCUUUCUUGCAAAUUGGCUUACAAGAAGAAGAUAGAGAUGUGACAAGGUUCAUAUGGUUAAAGGAUAUCAAUAAACCAUUGUCCGAUGAAAACAUACUACACCUAAGAUUCUGCAGAAUGCCUUUUGGAAUUAUUUCCAGUCCUUUCUUGCUGACAGCUACUAUACGCUACCACAUAUCUCAAAAGAAUAGUGAUCUGCUAAAAAGGGUAGCGAACAAGUGUUAUGUUGAUAAUAUAGUGACUGGCACAAAUGCUGUAGACGAGGCUGUUCGAUUAUAUGAUGAGACCAGGGAAACAUUUGAAGAACUCUCCAUGAACCUAAGAGACUGGACAUCAAAUGAUGAGGCCUUUAACCAAGAAAUACCAGAGACAUAUAGAGCAAAGGAGACAAAUGAAAUAAAAGUUUUAGGGCUGUUAUGGGACAAGAGACAAGACAUGCUUAAACUAAACCUAAAUAAAGAAGUUAUCAUGGAAGGAUUCUCAGAAGUUACUAAAAGGGAAGUCCUAAGAGUAUUGGCAUCAGUAUAUGAUCCCUGCGGCAUUGUAUCCCCGUUACUCAUGCCCAUCAAGCUGUUUCUUCAAGAAUUGUGGAGACUUGACUAUAAGUGGGAUGCUCCACUAUCGCAAGAUCAAUACAGAAGAUGGAAGAAGAUAGAGAGUAACUUAAGAGAAAUACACGAGGUUGAGAUACCACGUUAUUUGGGAACCAAUGUCAACAAAGGAUCCGUAAAUGAAUUACAUUGCUUUGCGGAUGCUGCCAAAGACUCCUACGCAGCUGUGGUAUAUUUCAGAUCAUGUAAUGGCUCUGAAAUAAAGACAUUAUUUUUAUUAUCAAAGAGUAGAGUUGCACCUUUAGAAAAGAAAAACAAGAAAGGGAAGAAAAAUGAAAGAAAACUGACUAUUCCACAACUAGAAUUACUAGGCUGUGUGAUCGGAAACCGAUUAUUGACAUAUCUGAAAGAAACCAUAGAAUUACCCAUUGAUAGACAAUACUUAUGGACAGACAGUUUAGUGGUUCUUAAUUGGAUUCAUUCCAAUAAACUUCUGCCACCUUUCAUAAGCAACAGGAUAGAGGAAAUAAAGCGAAAUGUUGGCCUAGAAACAUACUACGUGAACACAAGAGAAAAUGCAGCUGACAUUGCGACCCGGCCUGAAUUGUGGUCACAGAAAAAACAGGUAUGGUUGGAAGGACCAUCCUUUUUAGCCAGAAGUAAAGAGGAUUGGCCGAAAGACAUCCACCUUACUAGCCACCAGAACCUGGCAUCUUUCUCAGCUGUAGUGGAGGGUCUGAAGGAACAGAAUUUAGACAAUGACAUGACUGUAGAACCUUCAGAUAUAAACAUGCCUGUAGAACUAUCUGAUAAUCAGAUACCUAUGGAAGUUAUCGAGGAUGACGAACCACAACCUGACCAGAGUGAAGUAAAAUCUCAGGUACAAGAGGUAAAAAACCUGCAAAGAAGAUUCUUUCCCGAUGAAACAAAAGGCAAACUGACAGACCUCAGUAGAAGUCUUGGUCUAUUUACAGAUGUAGAUGGAUUGUUGCGAUGUAAAGGACGAAUGAUGCACGCUAAUUGGUCAUACGACAUGAAAUAUCCAAUUCUUCUGCCCAGAGACUGCGAAUUCACAAGGAAAGUUGUUAAAGAAAUACAUGAGAAGAACUAUCAUGUAGGAGCACCCCAUACUCUCGAUCUGGUUCGUAAGCAGUUCUGGAUUCCAAAAGGAAGACCAGUGGUGGAGAGAGUACUAAGAAAGUGUACUCAAUGUGUAAAGUACGGUGGAGGCCCGUACCCACUGCCACCAACACCAGCGUUACCUGCAGAGCGUGCAAAUUACAGCACACCGUUCACCUACACUGGAAUUGAUUAUUUUGGACCUGUUUUCAUAGAUACCGAAAAUGGACAACAAAAGAGAUGGGUGUGUCUAAUGACGUGCUUAGCAGUGAGAGCUAUACACCUAGAAGUCAUUAAGAACUUGACUGCAGAUGAGUGUAUUAUGGCGUUGAGGAGGUUUAUAUCUACAAGAGGUAUACCAUUAGCCAUAGUUUCAGACAACGCACUAUACUUUAAACUGAGCUCUGAGAUCCUGAAAAGUGAACACUGCGUAAAGAAUAACAUCAAGUGGAAAUUUAUUCCCCAAUUGGCGCCUUGGCACGGUGCAUUCUAUGAAAGACUAGUGGGUUUAGUGAAGCACUGUAUGAAGAGGACUUUGGAAAAACGAUUAUUGAAUGAUACUCAACUCCAUACUAUUAUUAAGGAGAUUGAGACUGUGAUUAACAGUCGGCCUUUAACACGAGUUGGCCCUGAUAUGGAAGCGGUGCUUAGACCAUGUGACUUUCUAUCACUAGGACGCUGUUUAAACUUGGAGAUGUCGGAGGAUUAUAGACCGGACCAAGAUGACACUCAAGUGAAAAAGAACUUGUUCGAAAGUUGGAAAAGAGGUCAGAACAUGCUGAACCACUUCAAGAACAUGUUUAUACACCAAUAUUUGAUGAGCCUAAGAGAAAGGUAUCAACACAGUCACAAGCAGCCAAGAGUGAAAUCCCAUCAGGAGCCAAGCGUUGGUGAUUUAGUCCAGAUAAAAGGUGAAAACAACAACAGAAACAACUGGCGGGUUGGCAAGAUUGUCCAACUUAUAAGAAGUGCGGAUGGAUUCUGUAGAGUAGCACAUGUUAAGGUAGGAGACAAUAUCUUCAUUCGGUCUAUCGGACACCUGUAUCCUUUAGAAAUGGAGUGUCCACCUUCAGUUCAAGGAGACGUUAAACCCACUGAUACGAGCGAAUCUCAAGAAAGAGCUCAAAAUCCUAUAUUAAAUGAUUUUGAGACAAGUCAAACAAUUGAAAUACCAAAGUUGAAUGAUCACGUCGAGAUUGUUAAGGAAAACCAAGAGACAUUACAGGAAAACCCUUUUACCCAAUGUACAGAAGGAAGAGAGUCUAAUGAUGACAUUCCUGAUGAGAGAGUACGCACAACACCACCACGAUCAGUACACCCAGAAACUGACGAGACGCGGCUUGUAGACGAGGGAAUCAAUGAGGCCGAGAUAGUAGAGCAAGAUGAGGCUCAGCCACGAGAGGAAGUAGUGAGACGAGCCGCUGCGAUAAGAGCAAGAGAACGAAUCGCAGAGUGGACUCGUCAACUCUUCGCUAUUUUAUAAACCGUCCUCGUCGUUGGGAAUGUCGCGAAUUUACGCGAUUCCUGAUAAAAGUGAGAAAGGAACGCGUGGCGAGAGGUUUUUACGAGACGAUUAAGAAGGGGACUGGUGGCGAAAGAGGCCGAGACAGCAGAGUGCUCCCGUUUAACUAGAAGAUUUCCCUGGUGAGUGCUUAUGCUUAAUUAUAACGAGAGAAAUACGUUGAGAGGUUAAGUAAGAGUAAGAUUAAAUAUGGUGGAACGGGAAGGUCUAUUGGGGAAGGUGGCAGGACCUCCAGGGACCUGCGGGUCCCACACAGAAUAAGGUGAGAGUAGAGAAACUGGGAUGACAGUUGGUCGGAUCACUUGAAAGAGAAACCUACCACCGAGGGUGGCUCUUGGUCCGAACGAUGGUGUCAUACCUGGCUCUCACGGAUUGUUGUAAGAGUAAAUAAGCAAUGAACCUUUCAACGUACGUCUCAGAACUUUAUAUCAAGGAUAAACGUGUAAAUGAUGAUGAUUGAAACGACUAAAUUAGUAACAUACAAAUCUAUG